AUUGAACGCUGGCGGCAGGCCUAACACAUGCAAGUCGAGCGGCAGCGGGAAAGUAGCUUGCUACUUUUGCCGGCGAGCGGCGGACGGGUGAGUAAUGCCUGGGAAAUUGCCCAGUCGAGGGGGAUAACAGUUGGAAACGACUGCUAAUACCGCAUACGCCCUACGGGGGAAAGCAGGGGACCUUCGGGCCUUGCGCGAUUGGAUAUGCCCAGGUGGGAUUAGCUAGUUGGUGAGGUAAUGGCUCACCAAGGCCACGAUCCCUAGCUGGUCUGGCAGGAUGAUCAGACACACGGGCACUGCGACACGGUCCAGACUCCUACGGGAGGCAGCAGUGUGGAAUAUUGCACGAUGGGGGAAACCCUGAUGCAGCCAUGCCGCGUGUGUGAAGAAGGCCUUCGGGUUGUAAAGCACUUUCAGCGAGGAGGAAAGGUUGAGGCCUAAUACGUAUCAACUGUGACGUUACUCGCAGAAGAAGCACCGGCUAACUCCGUGCCAGCAGCCGCGGUAA
This 508-nucleotide ribosomal RNA is filed under the name uncultured bacterium. Its description in RNAcentral is "partial 16S ribosomal RNA". It matches the Rfam family "Bacterial small subunit ribosomal RNA", at positions 30 to 523 of the family's 1533-position model. The record is from RNAcentral.